This 229-nucleotide long non-coding RNA is filed under the name Lathyrus oleraceus (garden pea). RNAcentral describes it as "Pisum sativum (pea) long non-coding RNA (PSAT_LNC003784)". Lineage: Eukaryota; Viridiplantae; Streptophyta; Magnoliopsida; Fabales; Fabaceae. The record is from RNAcentral.
AAAAGCCCAUUUAAAAAGUUACAAACGCGUAUCAGGAAAACACGUCAUUGCGACCGCGUUAGUAUUCAUCGUGAUCUCGAUGUCAGUAUCACGAUCGCGUGAAAAACAGAGGUGAAUUUUUCUUCUUUUUCUUCCUUUUUCUUUUUCUUUUUUCGAAGUCCCAACUUUUUUCACCUUUGGUCAUUUUACUCACUUCAUCAUUUUUGGCAUGACUUUUGCUCAUAAUUCC